Aethalodelphis obliquidens (Pacific white-sided dolphin) is the source of this 119-nucleotide long non-coding RNA. RefSeq lists it as uncharacterized. The transcript is spliced from 3 exons. NCBI's taxonomy places the organism in Eukaryota, Metazoa, Chordata, Mammalia, Artiodactyla, Delphinidae. The record is from RefSeq and is a predicted model, not a curated record.
UAGUGAUUAUAUUAAAUUCUUAUGGCUACCGUAACAAAUAACCACCAACUGGGUGGCUGGAAACAAGAGAAAUGUGUUCUCUCACAGUUCAGGUGGCCAGAAGUCCAGACUUAAGGUAU